AGGAUGAACGCUGGCGGCGUGCCUAACACAUGCAAGUCGAACGUCCUGUCUCGCAAGAGGCAGGGAGUGGCGGACGGGUGAGUACCACGUGGGUUAUCUACCGUGAGGUGAGGAAUACCGGCGAGAAAUCGCCGACAAGACCGCAUAGCCUCGGUGCAAGCCGAGGAAAGCUCUCUCGAGAGAGGGAGCGCCACACGAGGAGCCUGCGCCCGAUUAGCUAGCUGGUGGAGUAACGGUUCACCAGGGCGACGAUCGGUAGCUGGUCUGAGAGGACGAUCAGCCACACUGGGAUUGAGAACGGCCCAGACUCCUACGGGGGGCAGCAGUGAGGAAUUUUCGUCAAUGGGGGCAACCCUGAACGAGCAACGCCGCGUGCAGGAAGAAGGUUUUCGGAUCGUAAACUGCUUUUCUCGGGGAAGAGAACGGACGGUACCCGAGGAAUCAGCCCCGGCUAACUACGUGCCAGCAGCCGCGGUAA
Molecule: ribosomal RNA, 478 nt
Filed under: uncultured bacterium
Lineage: Bacteria
Description: SSU rRNA
Rfam family: Bacterial small subunit ribosomal RNA
Source: RNAcentral